RNAcentral lists this small nuclear RNA (323 nucleotides) under Heterocephalus glaber (naked mole-rat). RNAcentral's name for it is "7SK RNA". It matches the Rfam family "7SK RNA". Rfam says of the family: 7SK was discovered as an abundant small nuclear RNA in the mid-70s but a possible function has only recently been suggested. Two independent studies have found that 7SK RNA binds the CDK9/cyclin T complex (known as elongation factor P-TEFb). The record is from Rfam by way of RNAcentral. Lineage: Eukaryota; Metazoa; Chordata; Mammalia; Rodentia; Bathyergidae.
AGAUGUGAGGGCGGUCUGGCUGUGACAUCUGUCACCCACUGAUCGCCAGGGUUGAUUCGGCUGAUCUGGUUGGCUAGGUGGGGGUCCCCUUUCUCCCUCACUGCUCCAUGUGCGUCCCUCCCAAAGCUGCACGCUCAGUCGAAGAGGACGACCACCCCCGAUAGAGGAGGACCGUUUCCUCGGUCAAGGGUGUAUGAGUAGCUGCGCUCCCCUGCUAGAACCUCCACACAAGCUCUCAAGUUUAUUGGUACAUUUAGGUGUGCGAUACAGUUACAUUCAUCAUUGGGAUCUUGUACCUUUACAUGAGUAUCUUGGUUCUUAUU